This 589-nucleotide long non-coding RNA is filed under the name Drosophila guanche. Lineage: Eukaryota; Metazoa; Arthropoda; Insecta; Diptera; Drosophilidae. The record is from RNAcentral.
GGCAGCUCCAACUAUACGGCAGUGGCAAACCGCAAAGCAGCCGCACGUACCAAGAACUUAAAGGAACGCCGGCUGAUGGCCAAAAGUGACAGACAACAAAACAACAAAAUGAAGCCGCCGCAUCCGUAUACCGUAUCCGUAUCCGCAUCCGCAUCCGCUCUUUUCUCUUUUUGCUGGCCAUUGUCUUGCGUAACUAACUUCAAAAUGGCGCAAUUAUGACCACGCCUACAGCUUUCCUGGCUCCUUUUUGCCCACACAUUUUCCAGUUCUUAUUUUCGCUUUAUUAAAUGCUUCAGGUAGCUACUUAAACACGUUUUCGAUUAGAGCAGCUGCUGUCAUUACUCAAAGUCGAAGGGGGUUUGCGGGGGGAUUUCGGGACAAGUCUUGUCAGUCCUUGCCUUUGCCUUUUACUCUUGGCUGCUGUUGCUGUUGCUGCUUUUCCUCUUUUUGUGCUUAUUUUUUUGUUGUUCUUCCUGUACAUCUUCAAUAUUUUAUAAUAAAGCGAAAUUCCAGGAAGAGCCAAACAAAAAUGUGCAGCAGCAGGCGGGGGCCAAGUUGGUGUGUUCUCGGUGGUUACUGGAGUGUGCUG